This 3865-nucleotide long non-coding RNA is filed under the name Capsicum annuum. Its description in RNAcentral is "long non-coding RNA (CANN_LNC021063)". Lineage: Eukaryota; Viridiplantae; Streptophyta; Magnoliopsida; Solanales; Solanaceae. The record is from RNAcentral.
CCUUUGUUGACCUCUCUCGGAUUCGCAAGAAGAACAAGAAAGGAAGUGAUAUCAAGAGUAAAACACACUAAAACAGCAACAACACUUGAUGAACAAGAUGCAAUAACAACAACACACGGUUACAAGACAAGAACACAAACGGAUUACAACUUUAUGUUUAAUUCGCUUAUAUUGUAGCUCAAUUCGCUUAUAUUGUAGGAGCCGUAGAAUUGGUUGGGGCCGUACAAAUUUACAUACGCUCUUAAGCUGCUCGACCUGUUGGGAACAUAUAUUGUUAUUUUUCAGGGACUACCCUUGUGUUGCAUAUACCUUGUUUACUUCAGUAAAAACAAAAAGUGAUUGUAUGAACUAUCUACCUAGUUGAAUUAUGCACUUUGUAUCAAAAAAAUAUUUUCAUCAGUGUCAUCUUCAAGUAUGGAACUUUGAAGUUCUCUCAUUCUGACAAAAAUCCAUAUUUGUUUUGUCUCAUCUGUUUCUGCUACCGUUGUGCCUGAAAAUAUUUUGUAUUUUCGCCAAGCACAGAAAUCUGACAAGUCUUGAAAGACUGAACUCGCGUAUUAGGCAAAAUACAAGAUUUUCUCGUGUGGCUAGGGGUGACAAUUCAACCAGAUGAGAUGUGGUUUGUUUUGUUAAAAUCUUUUCAGCAGAGUGUAUCUUGUUGAUAGCUCAUGUUUGAGCUCUCAGUAGGCUAGGGUGAUUUCAUUUCACCUUACUAAUCCCGGAGAAGCUUCAAAUACAUGUCUAGAUUGUAUAAACAUACUUCUUAGGUGCUUAGCUACUCUUGCAUUUUGUUUUUUCAAAAUUGUUCUAAAAAUGAUUUUUCUUGUCCAUGAUUAUCUCUGGAUAUUCUAUUUCCUUCGUUUGGGCAGAUUUAUUUCUCCCUCUUUGCACUUUUGUAGCUUUGGUGUUCUGUCUUGUCAUUCCGCCACUUUCUUUGAUUUUCUUAAAGUGGUUCACAAUUGAAGUAUUGGGAUUCUUUCGACUAUCUUGUUGACAUUGUUUUGUUGCAUCCAUCGCCUCCAUGUUGGCAUUUGUCUUGUGGAGUAAGGGCAUUUUCUUGAACUUUCCUCGUGUUGCCUAUGUUCGCUAAUCUAUUUUCUGAUGUUGUUGCUGUUUCCUGUUUUAUCCUUCCUGAAAUAUCCUGGUUUCCUUCAUUUUCUGUUUCCAUAGCAUUCUUAUCUUUUCCCGUAGUCAUGGCCAUCAGGAUGGUGGCGCUAUGUUCAGGAUUGCUACAUGCAUUAACGACCUCUUUGUGAACUUGACCUUGAGUUCUCCUUCUGCAUUAUCUCUAGAGAGUCCACCCUUAUUGUUUUCCUGUAUUUCCCUAUCAAAUUUCAGUUCAGGGUGUAACUCUCUACAUUUCUCAUCACCAUAGUUUCAUAUUCCACGACUUGGGCAAUCACUGUCAUGUGGUCUUCUUUGUUUCUGAUUUCUAGUAAGAUUCACUUAGGGGUUUGGUUAAGUCUAUCUCUACCUUGAUUUUUCACGGCGUAGGUCUAAUUUUUGUGCUAGUGGGGUACCAGUUGGCUCCACAAUGCAACAUAGAGCAUCCCAAACGUAGUGAUCCUAAAUUGAGCCUCUAUUUUCAUUGUGUCACACCUUUUUUUUUUCUAACUCCAAAAAGAUUCAUGAUUUUAAUUGUUUUUAAAGGAUUUUUAUUAUUAAGUGACAAAAGAUAAAAAUUUGUUUCGAAAAGGAUUCAUUUUAUUCUAAACUCAAAGUCGCCAAUUGGCAUAAAUCGGGUGUGUCAAGUCACCCGUGGAUAUCCUUUUUCAAAACGGUUUUGACUCUGUAAAAUUGAUCUGAGAAUAGACAUUCCGGCUAAGGAAUUCUGUUGACCGAAGGGAAGGUGUUAGGCACCCCUCGAUCCAGUGGUUCGACCACGAUCGCUUGGUGGAGUAUAUCGGCUAAUUUUGACACUACUAAUGUACAAACCACAAAGACACAUGUAAAGCAAUCAAACAAACAAACCAAACCAAACGUAUAAAAGUAUAGCGUUCAGUCCAAUUAUACAGUCCCAAAAAUAAAAAAAAAUGCUAAAAUAAAUCCUAUCUAACCUAUACUAAUCCUAACUAUGCUCCCUUGCUUUACUCGAUGCCUCGGGCCUUCCUCACGAACAUCUUUCCGCCAACAUAGUACGUCGGGGCAUUCCCCGGUGAAGAAACACAAAUAUCUCGGGGCAUUCCCNNNNNNNNNNNNNNNNNNNNNNNNNNNNNNNNNNNNNNNNACUCAACACAAAUAUUUACACAUUCGAUGAUUAAAAUCCUACGAGUUGCCUACCCCCAAAACCUAGAACAAACCUAGAACUUACCUAUCAGUGCCCGACCUAAGACAUGAUACUAUUACACUUAACAUCAAUAUUUAUUUCAAAAUAAACCGACAACAAUAAAUCAAGCUAAUCCUUCUUCAUUUUAUCAAUUUUUCGAUCCCGACCCCAAACAACAACUUAAAUUCUCAAUCAACGAUUAACUAAUCUUUAGGCUAUCAAUUUAAUCUUCAUAAUUCGAAUUCAACAUCAACCAACAUUUAUGAUUCAAACAUCACAAAAUCAAACAAAGAAAACAAGAUCCACACAUUGUCAAUUCGCCACACAAAAUAUCAAAAUUUAAAAUUAUUCGAGAAAAGGGAUGAGAAAUGGACCUCAAUCGAAGCUUUUAUUAUGCCAAAUAAUGCGAUUAGAAAAUAGAAUCGGGUCCGAAAGCCUCAAGUUGAACCUCAAUCGCGAACUAACCAACUCCAAAACUUGGUAUCACCAAAAUCGAAACCCGGAACUGACCACAAUGACCCAAUCGAGACAAAUCGAACCUUUGAGGCGUGUCUUUCAAUUUUAAAAAUUCUUCAAAAUAGAGUAGCCCUUAAACCUUGAACAAAAUUCACACUCAUUAAAGAAUCGAUCAUGACUUCUAUUUUCGCCUUAACCGAUGGUGCAGAAAACACCAAAAUUCGACCCACGAACCUAGAUUUUUACCCGAAAUCUCGAAAUCGAAGCAAUGAGGGAGAAAGAAAGUAAAUUUGACAGCUCCCCAAGGAAUUCUGUGACUUUUAUGGUUUAUCCUAUGAAGAUCAAUGAGAAGGGAGUCAUCUAGUCAGUAAUGAAAUGGAAUUUUGGAGAUGGAGAUGUGGGUGACGUAUGACCCAAAAUGAAAGGGGGUCUGUGUUGUUAUUCUAGGAAGAAAAGAGAAGGGGGUGUGUGAAUGUCGAUGGUUGUGUGUGUAUGGUGUGUACAGAAAGAGUGACGAUGGAAGGAGUAGUGUUGGUGUUUGUCUAUGGUGAGAGAAUUAUAAGGGGUGAGUGUGAGAGUGUGUGUUCCUUUUUAAGGGAAAGAAAAAUGGAAGAUGAUCAUCCCCUCCCUGUGGGCCCCUCGCCUUAUUCUCCUUUUCUAGAAAACCAAAUUGGAUUCCCUUUUUUUUUUUUUUUUUUUUUUUUUUUCUGAAUGGGAAAGACCAAGCAAUAUUUCAAGUGGUCCUCUUUUUUCUUCCCUUUUUAUCAUGUAAAUGUGAGUAUAUGUAUUGAGAAAAAUGGAAUAAUUCGUGGCCCCACUCUUUUUGGAAUGUAGUCUAAUUGUGGAAGAAAGAAAUGGGAAAUCACGUGAAAGGGGAGUAGGUGGGUUUAGGGGUGAGGUAAGGUAGGGUGUAGGGUGAGGUAGUUUGUUAGGAUGAGGUGUAAAAAGGAUUAGGGUGGGAUAAAAUUUGUUAAGGUGUUUGUUAUUUUUGGUUCUUUUACGAGGAAUAAUUACAUGGUUGAGGGUGUACGGUAAGGUGAGCUGAAAAUGAAUAAAAUUGAACUUGAGAGGAACAAAAUUAGGUGUCUACACAUUGGUUUCAGGUUUGAAAGAGGAGGUCCAUUUGAUGAUUUUCAUAUUUUU